This 497-nucleotide ribosomal RNA is filed under the name uncultured bacterium. RNAcentral's name for it is "partial 16S ribosomal RNA". It matches the Rfam family "Bacterial small subunit ribosomal RNA", at positions 28 to 507 of the family's 1533-position model. The record is from RNAcentral.
GACGAACGCUGGCGGCGUGCCUAAUACAUGCAAGUUGAGCGCUGAAGGUUGGUACUUGUACCAACUGGAUGAGCAGCGAACGGGUGAGUAACGCGUGGGGAAUCUGCCUUUGAGCGGGGGACAACAUUUGGAAACGAAUGCUAAUACCGCAUAAAAACUUUAAACACAAGUUUUAAGUUUGAAAGAUGCAAUUGCAUCACUCAAAGAUGAUCCCGCGUUGUAUUAGCUAGUUGGUGAGGUAAAGGCUCACCAAGGCGAUGAUACAUAGCCGACCUGAGAGGGUGAUCGGCCACAUUGGGACUGAGAAACGGCCCAAACUCCUACGGGAGGCAGCAGUAGGGAAUCUUCGGCAAUGGACGAAAGGCUGACCGAGCAACGCCGCGUGAGUGAAGAAGGUUUUCGGAUCGUAAAACUCUGUUGGUAGAGAAGAACGUUGGUGAGAGUGGAAAGCUCAUCAAGUGACGGUAACUACACAGAAAGGGACGGCUAACUACGUG